UUCCGGUUGAUCCCGCCGGAGGUUACUGCUAUCGAGGUUCGACUAAGCCAUGCGAGUCGAAUGCCGCAAGGCAUGGCGUACUGCUCAGUAACACGUGGACAACCUACCCUUAGGUCGGGGAUAACCCCGGGAAACUGGGUAUAAUACCCAAUAGUCCUCGAAUGCUGGAAUGCACCGAGGACGAAAGCUCCGGUGCCUAAGGAUGGGUCUGCGGCCUAUCAGGUAGUAGUGGGUGUAGCGUACCUACUAGCCUACGACGGGUACGGGUUGUGAGAGCAAGAGCCCGGAGAUGGAUUCUGAGACACGAAUCCAGGCCCUACGGGGUGCAGCAGGCGCGAAAACUUUACAAUGCUGGCAACAGCGAUAAGGGAACCUCGAGUGCCAGGUUACAAAUCUGGCUGUCGAGAUGCCUAAAAAGCAUUUCAUAGCAAGGGCCGGGCAAGACCGGUGCCAGCCGCCGCGGUAACACCGGCGGCUCGAGUGGUAACCGUUAUUAUUGGGUCUAAAGGGUCUGUAGCCGGCCGGAUAAGUCUCUUGGGAAAUCUGGCAGCUCAACUGUCAGGCUAUCAGGAGAUACUGUCUGGCUCGAGGCCGGGAGAGGUGAGAGGUACUUCAGGGGUAGGGGUGAAAUCUUGUAACCCUUGAAGGACCACCAGUGGCGAAGGCGUCUCACCAGAACGGACCUGACGGCAAGGGACGAAAGCUAGGGGCACGAACCGGAUUAGAUACCCGGGUAGUCCUAGCCGUAAACGAUACUCGCUAGGUGUCGGCCACGGUGCGACCGUGGUCGGUGCCGUAGGGAAGCCGUGAAGCGAGCCACCUGGGAAGUACGGCCGCAAGGCUGAAACUUAAAGGAAUUGGCGGGGGAGCACCACAACGGGUGGAGCUUGCGGUUUAAAUGGAUUCAACGCCGGG
Molecule: ribosomal RNA, 915 nt
Filed under: uncultured archaeon
Lineage: Archaea
Description: bacterial SSU rRNA
Rfam family: Archaeal small subunit ribosomal RNA
Source: RNAcentral